Molecule: long non-coding RNA, 2588 nt
Filed under: Mus musculus (house mouse)
Lineage: Eukaryota; Metazoa; Chordata; Mammalia; Rodentia; Muridae
Description: long non-coding RNA chr15:20566214-20568802
Source: RNAcentral
AUACCUGAAUUACUUUUAAAACAGAAUGCAUUAUAGAAAACUAUUUAGGACAAAUAAAUAUUAAUAUAAUCUAAUAUUAACAUAAUGAUGUUACGAGCAAAGCACAUACAAAAAUGAUAACUCACACACACACACACACACACACACACAAGUACACAUGCACACAAAAUAAGUUAUUCUGUGGUGUGUAAGAUGGUAUGGAGAAAAGAUCGUUUAUUUUGACCGAUUAGCAAUUUAAAGUAGAGAAUGAGGCUUCUCUGGGUGAACCAAUUUACCUCUAGGUAGUUAGUUAUUGAAGUCAAUAUUUUUAGUAAGUGUUUAACCAUUUAUGUAUUUUUAUGAAAAUAGUUUUAUUGAUAAUUUCCCAAACAAAGUGAAUUUAAAUUUUACCCUUUAAAGUUGUAAGCACUUACUGUUACCAAAUAUAACUACAAAAUGCAUCUUAUAAGCUAUAAUAUGCCUAUGUUUACUCAAAAUAAUUUGAAAUUCUAUGUAAUAAUUAUUAUUUACAUAUAUGCAUAUUGCAAUUGACACAUGUGUCUGGGUUUUAACAGUAUUUGUUAAUAAAAUAUACCUUUCCUUUAAUCAAUGUUUAUGCCUUUUCUUUUUGAUUAAUUAUAAAUUCAGCAAAAGGAAUAGUUUGUAGGUAUUUGAGUCACUAUUAAAGAUAUUCAUAGACCUGAUAGAAAUGUUGCUUUCUUGGAGCAGUCAUUAUUGUGGUUGAGAAGUUGGUUUUCAAGAAUGGACUCAGACAAUAAAUCAACUUACAUCUCUAGUGUGAUGUGUAAAUAAUAAAGUCUCUUCUGACUAGUAACUUGAUUGCAGUAUUGGCAACAGAGUUUCAGAGCAAGUAUAGUUAGUUCACAGAUAUUGUAUGUUCUCUAAUAUAUUCCUUCUUAGAGAGGAAAAGGACUAUUUAUAGAUAUAUCAUUGGGAUUUUAAAAUAUUCUGGAAGAAAUUUUAAUUCAACUUGACAGAGAUUUACCUAGUAUGUAAUAUUACUGAAAAUCAAUUUAUAUACAAACAUGACAUGCUAAUAUAGACAUGCUUUGGAAUUCUUGUUCUUCCAUAACUACAAAACUUUCCUUUAGCGGUGAACUUUCAAAUCUUUGUUGAAAUAAGAAAAAUGAGUUGCUUUCAAUAGCUUUUAUGAAUAUUUAAAAGAGAUGAAGUAUGAAAAAUCUCUUAAAUAUGAAAUGCUGUGAGUGAGAAGCCUAGCAUAUGAAUCAAGGAACAGAGAACUCCUUCAAUAUUCAUGAAAAGCUGAGUGUCAUUGUCUUCUCAGACUGUAUCAACUUGUGUCCUUCAAGAUGGACACAUGAUUGAAAACAAAUAAGAUAGAUGCCUACAGAGCAUUUUCCAUUAUAAAGUGAAAACAAAUAUCAACAAAUAUAAUAAACACAAUUAUAUCCAAGCAAUUACUAACUGCAAUGAGCUCUAUUUGUAAAACUGUGUUAAAAUGUAGACCUCACUAUCAAAACUAUUGAUAUUGGCCAAAGUAAUGCAGGUUUUAAUUGUAAUUUUCUAAAUGAGAAUAAAACAUCACCCAUGAAAAGAUUUUAAAAAAAUGUUGAAUGUUUCUGUUUUUAUGAGGCAUCUAAGUAUCUGUUGCAAAUGCAAUUACAAUACAGUUGUAGGUCUUGUAAAUACUGAAUGUCAGUUACUAAAAUAAAAAGUUUGCAAAGCUCAUGUAUGUGGAUAGUGAGGUAGUUCUCCUCUGAUAAAAGUGCACCCUGACCUUAUCUUUUCAUUCAUUGUUUUCAAAUAGACUUUAUGUAUCUACUCAUGUUAGUCAUAGCCUAAUCCCUGAGAAUGCCAUGAUUAACACAAAGUUCUUUGAGUCAUGAACCUUAUCUAUCCAGAGUCUAUUAUAAAUUAAGACUGGACUGUGUUUGACAGUUUUUGUUUUAGGUAAUGGUUGAAAACUGUUGAUUCAGCUGUCUGCUUUUCACAUAGACCAUCAGGAAAUAAGUGUUUAAAAAACACAUUUUUUUAUAUACUAGCAGAAAAAGUGAAUUAAUUUGUUUAGGUUAUAGAGUCCAGAUAUUUAAUGAAAAACUGUCUAAAUCUUGCUCGAAAAGCACAAUGUAGAUAAAACAUACAUGUAUACAACUGCCUCUCAGUAGAGUGCUCAUCUGUACAGUUGAAGGCCUGAGAAAGGAAUCUGAUUUCUUCUGUAGGACUAGCCAGCCACUGGAUUUGAAGAAUAACACCAACAUUUCUGUGGUUUGAAGGUUUUACAGCUCACUGUCCAGAGCAUGGGUUGAGCAGCCCAGGAAGUCGUGUCUAUUAAUUUCAUGAUAUAACCAUUGAGAGCACAGAACACAUGUCCCCAUCUAAGCAUUGCUGUUCCUCAGGAAAGCCUGACUAAGACAAAGAAAAAUACUAAAUUGAGAUGCCUAAAUAUAUCUGUGGGACUAUAUGAACCAACUGAUGCAAGCUGUGGACUAUAUAAGGUUUCAGAAAUGCUAAUUUUAGACUGAUCACUACCUAGAGGAAUGAGUGCUUAGGCAAGUGCUAAUGAAUAACGUUUCGGUCAUGACAAGCAAGCUAUUGGUUCUAUAUCUUUAAGAAGUUUCCUGGACAUU